RNAcentral lists this ribosomal RNA (253 nucleotides) under uncultured bacterium. Its description in RNAcentral is "partial 16S ribosomal RNA". It matches the Rfam family "Bacterial small subunit ribosomal RNA", at positions 524 to 776 of the family's 1533-position model. The record is from RNAcentral.
UACGUAGGGUGCGAGCGUUAAUCGGAAUUACUGGGCGUAAAGCGUGCGCAGGCGGCUUUGCAAGACAGAUGUGAAAUCCCCGGGCUCAACCUGGGAACUGCAUUUGUGACUGCAAGGCUAGAGUACGGCAGAGGGGGAUGGAAAUCCGCGUGUAGCAGUGAAAUGCGUAGAUAUGCGGAGGAACACCAAUGGCGAAGGCAAUCCCCUGGGCCUGUACUGACGCUCAUGCACGAAAGCGUGGGGAGCAAACAGG